Molecule: ribosomal RNA, 429 nt
Filed under: uncultured prokaryote
Description: bacterial SSU rRNA
Rfam family: Bacterial small subunit ribosomal RNA
Source: RNAcentral
UGGGGAAUAUUGGGCAAUGGGCGAAAGCCUGACCCAGCGACGCCGUGUGGGCGAUGAAGGCCUUCGGGUUGUAAAGCCCUGUGAGGUGGAAAGAAGGGUCCAGAGGUUAAUACCCUUUGGACUUUGACGGUACCACCAGAGGAAGCACCGGCUAAAUCCGUGCCAGCAGCCGCGGUAAUACGGAGGGUGCAAGCGUUGUUCGGAAUUACGGGGCGUAAAGGGCGCGUAGGUGGUUGUGUAAGUCAAAUGUGAACUCCUUAGGCUUAACCUGAGAACUGCAUCUGAUACUGCAGGAUGCGAGUACAGCAGAGGGAAACGGAAUUCCUGGUGUAGAGGUGAAAUUCGUAGAUAUCAGGAGGAACACCGGUGGCGAAGGCGGUUUCCUGGGCUGAUACUGACACUGAGGCGCGAAAGCGUGGGGAGCAAACA